This 393-nucleotide ribosomal RNA is filed under the name uncultured bacterium. RNAcentral's name for it is "partial 16S ribosomal RNA". It matches the Rfam family "Bacterial small subunit ribosomal RNA", at positions 523 to 918 of the family's 1533-position model. The record is from RNAcentral.
AUACGGAGGAUCCGAGCGUUAUCCGGAUUUAUUGGGUUUAAAGGGUGCGCAGGCGGGAGAUUAAGUCGGCGGUGAAAUUUUUCAGCUCAACUGUAAAAGGGGCUUCGGAACUGGUUUUCUUUAGUGUAGAUGAAAGAGGCGGGAUUUGUGGUGUUGCGGUGAAAUGCAUAGAUAUCACGAGGAACUCCGAUUGCGCAGGCAGCUUACUAAACUACUACUGACGCUCAGGCACGAAGGCGUGGGGAUCAAACAGGAUUAGAUACCCUGGUAGUCCACGCAGUAAACGAUGAUUACUAGCUGUUUGCGAUACAAUGUAAGCGGCUGAGCGAAAGCGUUAAGUAAUCCACCUGGGGAGUACGUUCGCAAGAAUGAAACUCAAAUGAAUUGACGGGG